AAGCAUGUGAUAAAAUUCUUUGCUAAACUGGGGCCUAAGUCAGUGUGAUCUUAGGGUGGAACUCAAAUAACUGCUCUUGCAGGAGGGAGAACGGGCACAAGAACGGAGCCAAAGGUUCUCCUGGGGUGAUGGGCUGGGGUGAGCGGCAAGAGCCCAAACAAAUGGGAAAACGGCGUGAUCCGAGAGAAGGAGGGAUUGUAUGACUGGCUCCGUGGCUACGGCUUGGGAGGAGGAAAUUCCUCGUGGGAACGUUGCCAGGAGGCCCACGAGCAAAAGUUGAAGUUGUGUUUCCAGUCUAGAGGAGCAACGUUGAAUCAGUGCUCUCUGCAGCACAGCUCCAGGUUGUCUCACCCGCCUGUUUGAACCUGGUGUUCUUUCCCAGUUUGUAUGUUAAGAGCUACAGGGACAUUCUUACUGGUAAUCCUCAUAGAAUGCCUUGCCCAGGGGGACUGGUGAACCUCCUCGUACUAACUGAAUACACAUAGAAAGACCUUGCCAUUGCCACCCAAAUUAAUGGGUAGGAAGACACAAUGUGUGCAUUAAAUCAUACUUAGCAGCCCAAAGGAUUAAUCGCCCUGUUCACAUAAGGGCUAGUGGAGGAAAAGAAGCUUUCAAAGGGUUUAAGUUUUGGCCCCAUCACUUUGCUGUGCAUCUGGCCCUCCCACACCGUCUGGUUUGAUGUAAGUCUCUCCCACAGGGACUCUGUGUGCUCAGAGCCCUCCACUUCCACUCGCUAUCCGCAGGCAGAGAUGUGUGUAAGUGCUAUACAUCACCAGCCUGCGCUUUCCAACAAAUUAGCAGAAAUACCCUGGUAUUACAUUUGCUGUGAUCUGCCUGUCAAUCAAGGAGACUCUCAUGGUCCUUUCUGUUAUUCAUACCAGGAUUGCAGCCAUCCGCUACUUGCUACUAAUACUGGAGUCUCUGCCCAUGACGACUGACGGAAGCAUCCAGCUGGUAACAUCUCACAAAGAAACCCUGGGCUUGGUCUCCCCCCUGCCUGGAGUGGCUGCAACAGCAGCCAGCAGCAGGGGGGCUAGAUCAUAAAAAGUGCACUAUAAAUAAACCAUCUUAGCACCAAGGUUGAUACAAAAAGCCAU
Long non-coding RNA from Aptenodytes forsteri (emperor penguin), 1097 nucleotides. RefSeq lists it as uncharacterized. The record is from RefSeq and is a predicted model, not a curated record. Lineage: Eukaryota; Metazoa; Chordata; Aves; Sphenisciformes; Spheniscidae. The transcript has 2 exons.